UGAAAGCCGGGAUCCUUUGACUUCCACAGUGGACUUAAUGUUCUUUUCCUCCUCUCUUUCAGGACAGGAAAAAUCGUUAAACUCCUCCCAUCUUUGCCAGAAGCUUCGGUGUUUAAGCAGCCAAAGCCAAGAGUCUUCAGCACCAGGGCUCUGUGUUACUAUUGGACAUGAAAUGAGUACACAGAAGCUUGGGCAACAGGUCUGCGCUGGAGGGCUCCUGGUCCUGCCCACGCUGUGGGGCCAGCAGGAACAAGGGGGAAUGUGGUGCCAGAGCUGUGUUCCGUCGGGCUGCGCUUCCCUCUGAGGACAGAGUCUGGGCUGAGAUGCUGUACUUAGCUCGGCAGACAGGCGCUGAGGAACCUGUCACUGCAGGAACCUGUCAGGCCUCGUGAGUUCAUAUUCUUCCCACUGGUGAAUUGGAAAUAAUUGUUGAUUAAUUGCAGAAAGGUUUUCUGGAUCCUUUCCCCUCUUGUGCCCCACAGCGGCCUCGGGCUGGAAAGGAGCAGGAGAAAGCCAAAGGGACCUCCCUGGUGUCACCAGGGCACUGUGGGGAAGAGAAUGGACACUGUGUGGGCAAGGGGAGGUGAGGAGUGACAGUCUGGGGCAAAAUCUGAGUUUGUCUGCAGGGAAAUAAGUAAGGGAUAUUUUGGAGGGGAAAGCUGAGGUUGUGAGUUCACCCAGCCUGGCCAAGUUGUGUUUGGACAAAGUGGCACCAGAGGUGAAGGUCAAUCCAGAGCCAACCCUGCUCAACCUCUAAAUCCCAGAAUAAAUUCUACAAGCUGUC
Molecule: non-coding RNA, 784 nt
Organism: Taeniopygia guttata (zebra finch)
Lineage: Eukaryota; Metazoa; Chordata; Aves; Passeriformes; Estrildidae
Source: RefSeq, a predicted model, not a curated record